RNAcentral lists this ribosomal RNA (440 nucleotides) under uncultured bacterium. RNAcentral's name for it is "bacterial SSU rRNA". It matches the Rfam family "Bacterial small subunit ribosomal RNA", at positions 338 to 795 of the family's 1533-position model. The record is from RNAcentral.
CCUACGGGAGGCAGCAGUGGGGAAUAUUGCACAAUGGGGGAAACCCUGAUGCAGCGACGCCGCGUGAGCGAAGAAGUAUUUCGGUAUGUAAAGCUCUAUCAGCAGGGAAGAAACUGACGGUACCUGACUAAGAAGCACCGGCUAAAUACGUGCCAGCAGCCGCGGUAAUACGUAUGGUGCAAGCGUUAUCCGGAUUUACUGGGUGUAAAGGGAGCGUAGACGGAUAGGCAAGUCUGGAGUGAAAGCCCGGGGCUCAACCCCGGGACUGCUUUGGAAACUGUUUAUCUAGAGUGCUGGAGAGGUAAGUGGAAUUCCUAGUGUAGCGGUGAAAUGCGUAGAUAUUAGGAGGAACACCAGUGGCGAAGGCGGCUUACUGGACAGUAACUGACGUUGAGGCUCGAAAGCGUGGGGAGCAAACAGGAUUAGAUACCCUUGUAGUC